AAUCCUUCUUAAUAAAAAAACUUGCUUUACUAGCAGACAAUCCUUAGUAGCUUCAUCAAAGAAUAAGUUAAUUUUUUCUUCUCUGACUCACUGUAACCACAGACAGAAAAAUGGUUUGAGGUUCUGAUAGUGCCAUCUUGAACAAAUUACAUAUCUUUCCCUACUUCAUAAGAAAAGACCACAGUGAUUUUAGUGACAUACCACAUAGACCCAAAACUUCUUUAACCAGUUCUAGAGUUUGAUACAUUUUGGCAAACCAGGCAUCUGUCUGAAUGAACUGCAGAAUUCAUCUUUAUAUUGAUUCCAUUGAAGAUCUCAGUAUACAAUUCAACAAAACAAAAGACUUACCUGGAAACUUCAUAUUAUUCCAGACCUCAAUUCUACCAGAUUAAUAUGGGACUUAGAACGUCAUGUAAAAUGUAUAUUUUCUUGGAUAAAAUAAUCUUUAGAGAAUGAUAAAGAAUUUACUCUCACUUUAACACUUCAUUAACAUGUUAUCAAGACUCACAGCAGACUACAGGUCAAAGGUGGCUUCUGUUUGUAAAAUUCUUGCAGUAAGUGUCCAACUGUCCUUCACCUUUCUCAACCAGACAAGCUGCAAACUGUUUUUUAUCACUGCACUUGGGGUGAUACAUAUUGCUUGGACUCAGCAGCAGCAGAAGUUGCACAAAUUGUUCUUUCAUCAUGGCUGCUGUGGCUGCAGUCUUGGCUUUGGCUUCAGUGAUCCCAUAAGUAGAAGCAGAGAGCAGAGCUGGAGCUCUCUGAAAAGAUCCUUCCUCUGGAAAAGAGACACAAAAUCAGGAAGUGGGGAGUGCUGUCAGCCGAAGAGUAGCAAGGCAUGUCUCCUUUGUAAAGCUAUGACAUCCAUCUUCUCAGGAGAUGAACACUCACAGUUUAGAAAAAUCUGCUGCUGUUUUAAACUCUCCAUAUAGACAAAUGCAGUGAAAAUGGAAAAGGAAUGUGCAUCACACAACUUGUGUAUUGUAUCUUCUAGAUAACUGUAAACUCAGUGAAAUGCAGUGCAUGCAUCAAAAGCUUUGAUGGUAGGCUUUUCUCAUAUUCAACAAUGAAAAUGGGGGAAAAAAGCCUAAAAAUGUGACUGCAAGGACAAGUUCCCCCCCAAGUACAAAGUGCAGUGAUGGUGAUGUACAUGAAAGGAAUUAAAUCACUAUUUCAUCCCAUCAAUGGAAACCAGUGGUUGUCCUGAAAAUUUAUUUUACUGUGUUCUGGAAUGUUUCUAUCUGUGCACACAGGGUACAAAGGGAGGUGGCUUUAAUGGAAGAAAAACAUAACGUCAUCUGUAAUGUCACUCGUGAUCUUAAGAGUUGCCUUCAAACAGGAGAGUUGAUAUAAAGGAGCUAAUGGGUCCAUUCUACGACCCAUAAAGGGAGCGGAGGACAUUACAGCUGCUAGGCUCUCUGAGUUUGCCUGGCAGACUGAUUUUCAAGGCCCAAUUUUUCUGUGCUCUACGUCAUUUGAAAGUAGACUAUAAAUACCAGCUUUUCUGAAGUUAACAGAAGUUCUACUAUUGACUUUGAUGGCACCAAGAUUUCAUAAAUACAAUUGUUGUUUUUUCACUUGACUGAAGUGUUAUUUUUGCUUCAAAACGGAACCUUAACAUUGGUACCUUCAGCCCAUAAGAUCAUAUACAGAAUAUUGCUUUUAAUUGCUAGCCAUACACUGCCAGUUCCACAUCAUGUCAAUGAUCAGAGAAAUAAGUUCUGGUACAGCUAGUUAUUCUGCACAGAUCAUAAAUGCAUUCAGUAUGGCAGGAUCUUAUAGGAGAGGGAAUGUGUUUCAUUGGGCAAACUGCUAUAGUUGGAAAAGUGAUUGUGUUUUGAACCAUACAAGCCCUUCUUCUGCUCUAAUGAAAACAGAUAUUUCUCAUAUUGAAAGAACAAUACUACAGCUCUAUAAGACCGUAGCACAUGGGAAUGCAUUCAGGAAGGAGAUGUUACUUUCAAACAGUAGGAUAAAUAAAUCACUGAAGUUCUGUUGGAAGAAUAACCAGUGUAAAAUAAGCUUGUUUAAUAGCUUUACAAUUGGAGAAGCCUCAGACUGAAGUCUGUGAGCUGAAAAUUGGUGACCAUCUUAAACAGAGGCUACAUAUGAGAAAGAUUAACCAUUAAAUUAUUGGCUGCUAGGAGGUGCAGUCUGUAGAUCACAGACUUAAAGUUAUUGGAAUUUUCUUUUACAAACAGGCAGAGGAUGAGACAGAGGUGAGUUGGUUGCUACUGGCCCUAGUUAGCUCCAGUCCCCCAAGAAAACUGUCUGGAGUCCUAAGGACUGAGAGGCUCUUGGCAGCAGCAAUCAAUAUGAUGCAGUGCUCCUUUGAUUGCUAGACAAAAGUUCAGUGAUUAAACUUCAGAAUCUCAGAAUCAAAUGUUUUAGAAAUUUUGAUAGUGUGAAAAAGGAUUAACUGGAAAAACUGCAUUACAUUUAAACAACACAAGGAUUGGGAAGUAGGCUGGAAUGUAUCUGACUAAAUUUGAUUAAGACUGCACUUUCAGGCAACUCAUUUAUUUGUGUUGGGAUCAAUGUUUUAAGAGUCACAAUUUAAUUACAAAGCCACAAUUUAUGCUAAGCAUCUUUAUGCUGUUCUGUAUUACUCAUAAUGUGUGUAGCAUUUGAAUUCAUUUGACACCAACAUCAAUUUCUGAAAAUGCUCAUAUUCCCAAUUGCUUUCCAAUUGGAAGAGGAGAAUUUAUUACAUUACUUAUGCUAUGCUUUAAUAUUGUAUUUGUACAUCUGUAUCUACCAUCUUUUCUUCCUCACACUUCAGUGGGGUCUCAAUUAUUUUAAAGUAAUUUCCUAACUUUUACUAAAUCAAGGAGAAUUAUCUACAACCUCUAAACCCAGAAUGAAGUAAUUUAACCUGGCGGUUUCAUCACCCAUACCACACAUUUCAGAUCUACUUAUUUCUCAUUUGUUUGCCCUGAAACUAUAUCAUAAGGAGAAUGGCAAUUUCAAGGAAGCAAUAAAAUAAUAAUCAUAUCAAAAGUAAAAAUUAAAAUUUCAGUCUGUGCAUGCCAUAGAAGCGUUAUAAUGCUCAAUAUUGUCAUUUGAUUAUAUUGUAAAGUAAUUAUACUUAGAUUUUUUCCUCUUUCUUACCUUCCUAAUAUGCUGCUGAUAUCAAUUUUGUGGCAAGAGUAUAUAAUUAUCAAACAUGAUUUCCUACAAACUCAGGCUCAAAACGCCAUUUGGAUCUAUGUGAAUAACUCCACUGAAAUCCAUAGGCAGAUUUUAGCCCUGCUAUCAGUAGCUAUUCUGUUUUCACUAUCAGAUCCUAGGGUCAAUUCUUGCCAGCACUUUUGGGGUUCAUUUAGGAUCUUUUUAUUUCAUAUUCAUUGAUUUCAGUGCUUCCUGGAUUUUAUCACCUAAUUAAAAUUUCAACUAAUUUUUUGGGUGCUUUGAGGUCUUUGGGAUGAGGAUUGGGGAUUUUCAGAUGAAUUGGUUUCACAGUUUUUAAGGGCAGGAUAUGAGUUGCCUCCUGUUGGACUGAGAAUUUCUAACUUUCAUUUGUUCUGCAGAAAAAGUUUGGCAAAGUGGCAGUAUUAGCAGAUGGUGUGGAGUGGGACAAGAGACAGUCACCAUCAAGUCAUGAAUCUUUCUAUGUUGUUUCCAUGAAAAAAAGACUCAUAGCCAGCUGGGCUGCAAUAUCAAAAAAUCUCAAUUUAUAUACGUUCAGUGAGCAAUUGUGAAGAAGAAAAGAAGCAAAGGUGAGCAAAGAGAAGACAAUAAAGGAGACUGGAAGCACGGGAAGCCUUUAGAGUUGACAGCAGAUUUUGGGUAACUGUAGAAGACAGUGGAUGAGGCUAGUAGUAGUAUAGUACACAUAAAAGAACCACAUAUUGAUGAUUCUUCUAGUAAUUUUUCUUAAAACCUUCUUUAUAGGUAUUAAGAAUGAGGAAACCAGAGGAGUUAUGAAAAGGUCUACCGAGUUAACUAAUCUAAUGAAGACAUUAGGGAGAUCUUGUUCAGUGGCCAGAAUCUUUUUUUUUUUUCCUUUCUGACAAAGUAAUGAAGCUUUCUGCAUGGAAGAAAAUAAUGGCCCUAAGAACACAGAAUGACACCUUAUAAAAAGCAAGCUGACUUGCUUAAGAUGGAAGGAGGUCACCUCUGUGGUGCUUGAGUAUCUGAUGACCAUCCUCACUGAGCACACAGGGAAUCCCCAUGCCUAUCAAUAUAUCUCCCUAAAGUAUGAGCCCAUCUUUGCUCUAGACACAGAGGGACUGGAAGCUCCUGAAAGCGAUCUUGGGGUCAGUGCAGAUGUCUUUUUUUCAGUGCUCUGUACUUCUAUCCAGUGAACUCUCAUCAGUAAUCCUCACAUCUUAACUGCAGUAAACAUUGUCAGGAAGGAGAUAUGACAACCUGCCUCAAAAACCUUGGAAAUAAACACUGAAAGAUUUUCUUGGCUGCUGCAACAAAUAUAAACACUCAGACCUGUGGAAACAAAAAUGAUGCAAGGACCAGCCUUGUCAUCUUGACAGUAGUGAAGAACUAACUGCCUAGGGGAGUAGAACAGAUUCUCUCAGCAGCUUCUCUCUAAGCUGUUUGCAGAACUGGAAACCAAGCAUCUGAAAGACUCAGACAGGAUUACACUGUUUUUUCUGCUUGAUUCCCUACAGUACCCCAGAAGACAUCCCAUGGUGUUCUUACAUGCACAAACACCAAUCUCCCUAAGAAACCUUGCUGAAGACACAGGAGCAGCCACAUGAGAUUGGAAGGCAAAGAUGCUUAUUAUAAGAGACAAGGUUAUUACAUAACACCCAUCCUUGAAGUCAAAAACUGGUGGCAUAACGGCAAGAAUACCUAGUGUGCAUUCAUUAUUGUACAAGCCUGAAUGGCACAAUUCCAUCUUGGUAUUUUCUGUCGGUUUUGUUGUGAGGACUUGUGAUUACAUAAUCUGCUAUGAUCAUGCUAAAACUAGAUAUCCAACUAAAUCAAUAAAAUGUUCUCUUUUGAGCCAGAAGUUUUCCAUUGCUAAUUUCUGCUGCUUCUUUUCUCUAUUGUCCUAAUUUUCCCAAAAGCUAAUUAUUUGUAAAUUCCAUUAAAACAGUGUUCAGUGAGGUUACUGAAUUUGUUUCACUAUUAGCAAUGUUACAGUUAUAGGUUUUACAAUUAUUCCAAUACAAUGACUGUGACACAGAGUCAGGUAGACUAAAAUAACUGUGAAAGAGACUAAAUGGUUACCAACAGUAGUUUAAAAUUUGUUUAAAUGCAUCUGUGAUUUUGUUUGUAGAAGAUAACAUUAAAAGCAUACAAGAAAAAGAUAAGCAUUAGCAUGAUUUAAUUUCAUGGUAUUUAUGAAUGUACAUCUUUGCAAUUGUUGAUAUUAAUAUCCAAGAGGCCUGAGUUCCCAUAGACUGAAAUGAUCUAUGAUGAUUUAUGGCAGCUGUUAACAUCAUGGCACUAAAUUCCUAUCUGGAUUUCAGUUCAAAACUUGACUCAGUGUCAUAACUUUGAUAACUCAUAUGCAUGGCUUAAUUCAUUUUCUGAUAUCAUGUUACUGUCUUAUUGUCAUUACUUCUCUGUGGCAAAGCAAUCACAUGUUCAAAAAGAAACUGAAAUGGUGUCAUCAAGAACUAUCCUAGCAUAUUUUUCCAAAUUUGUAUAGAAAGUAAUUUUGAUAACCUGCUUUGACAGAAGCAAUAAUGUUUUAUUGUAUGAUUUCAUCUACAGAUGCUGUCAAAGAACAAUAUUCCACCACAUGGACUCAAACGUUUCUCUUGAAAGAAAACCAUUUGAUUUCAAUGGGACUUGAUGUUACAGUUCAACAUGAAUAAAGGUGUCAAAAUAUGGCCUAGACUCAUUAUCCACAUCUCUUAAACCUCAGAAAAGCAAUGAGACACUCAGAUUCAUGGAUAACACCUGGAAUGACAUUCCUAUCUUAACCCAUUCCGUCUGUCUGAAAGUUAGUAAUAACAUGUGCAUGGCAUGUCACCAGGCUCAUAAAUGCAGUCACAAUAGUUUGAAUUUUCAGAACAAAUAUCUGCCUUUGCUCUAUUUUAUUCCCCCUGUGGUUUGAAGCCAGCUUCUUAAAAUAUUGUUUAAUAUGUUU
RNAcentral lists this long non-coding RNA (6061 nucleotides) under Gallus gallus (chicken). Its description in RNAcentral is "lncRNA (ENSGALG00010008733.1)". Lineage: Eukaryota; Metazoa; Chordata; Aves; Galliformes; Phasianidae. The record is from RNAcentral.